CGCACGGGUGAGUAACGCGUAUACAAUUUACCUUUUACAGGGGGAUAGCCUUUAGAAAUGAAGAUUAAUACCCCAUGGUAUUAUAGAGUGGCAUCACUUUAUGAUUAAAGCUUCGGCGGUAAGAGAUGAGUAUGCGUCCUAUUAGCUAGAUGGUAAGGUAACGGCUUACCAUGGCGACGAUAGGUAGGGGUCCUGAGAGGGAGAUCCCCCACACUGGUACUGAGACACGGACCAGACUCCUACGGGAGGCAGCAGUGAGGAAUAUUGGUCAAUGGAGGCAACUCUGAACCAGCCAUGCCGCGUGCAGGAAGACGGUCCUAUGGAUUGUAAACUGCUUUUAUAGAGGAAGAAACCCGGUUACGUGUAAUCGGCUGACGGUCCUCUACNAAUAAGGACCGGCUAACUCCGUGCCNGCAGCCGCGGUAAUNCGAGGGUCCAGCGUUAUCCGGAAUCAUUGGGUGUAAAG
This 466-nucleotide ribosomal RNA is filed under the name uncultured prokaryote. Its description in RNAcentral is "bacterial SSU rRNA". It matches the Rfam family "Bacterial small subunit ribosomal RNA", at positions 99 to 565 of the family's 1533-position model. The record is from RNAcentral.